GCGAUGCCUCCCACUGAAGAGCUGGUGAAGGAGCUGUGUAAGCCAGCACUGCUCCAGAAGCUUCUGAAUGUGGAAAGCCUGCCAGUGCUCUGGCUGGUGCUCAGACGUCUCGUGCUGCUGUCGGAUAGACCUGAGACGGCAAUUGAAAUCCGGGCCCUGCUUCCAGGCGUCAUGGAGAACCUGCUGUUUGCCAACACAGCCAUUACUGUGAAGGUGCUGAAUAUCUUCAGGAAUGCAAUGCACCAUCUGGGGAAGAGGCACGCCAGUCCGUUUGCUCUGGAGCUGGCUGAGAAGAUCCUGCCUCUUUUUAAUCACGUAAGUCUGUUGUGGGAGGCUGAGCUCUGCGGGUGGGUGCUUGACAGGAGCGUCUUCUCCUUUCUUUCCUUCUCUGGGCUCUCAGGAAUGAGAUGUCCUGUGGGCUCUGUAGCACUGCUGGCCGUGUCCCUGCUAGUGCAGCUUGGUUGUUCUUGGUGAUGUCAGGCCCCUGUGCUGGGGCUCAGCCUACACUCAUGCUCACCAUGGGCAGUGAGAGUGUGCUACUGAGGUCUGACGUCCUCCUGUUCUCCCUCAGCGUCAUUCUGAGUGCGAGAAGGUUCCAUCCGCCUCUUCAGGAUGUGAUGGAUGCUGUGCUGUGGUCUCGAAGGGAAGCAUGAAGAAGACCGUGCGCAGGGCCCUGCUCCCUCUGCUCUUUCACAUGAGUGACGAGACCCCGAGCGUAGCACAGGCAUCUGGGGAAGCCCUUGUGUCCUGUGCAAAGUUCCUGAAGUGGAAGGAGCUCAAGCAGCAGGCCCGGCAGAAGAACACAGUGGGGAUCAUGAAGUGUUUGCUGCAGCAGGACAGAAAGGGAGUGGAAGGCCACCUGCAGCAGAGCCUGCCAUACCUGGAGGAUUCUCAGGCCUCCUUGCGAUGCGAGGCUGUCAGAUUCAUUGGGCUGAUUGGGAAGCACUCCAGGGAGCAGAGUGAGGAGAUGCUGAAUGAACUCUGCAGUGCCCUUCAGCCUUUGGAAGAUGACCCCCAUCUGGCAGUCCGUGUUGUGGCAUCUGAGACCAUCCAGAUACUGCGACAACAAAGGCAGAAGGCGGCACCAGCACGGAGAAGGCUCCCAGCACUUUUCCGCUGGUCCUGCAUAGCCUUCUGAGGGAUAAUUCUUGUUCAUUAACGUUGCUAGGACACCUGUACAGCAACGUUGCUGGGACAUGUGUUCCUGUCACGCAAGACAGACCCCCUGAACAACAGCGGGAGCCUUGGAGCACAGACAUCUUGGAAGAAAGAACAGGAACCAAGCUGGUUAGAACUGGGUCUGUAGUUAGCGAUUAAUUAAAUUGAAAAGCACAAUUGAAAGCCUUUGGAAGGAAGAUCUGGAGAAUAUGACCACUAGAGAGCAGCACGUAUGCACACAGACGCAGAACUGAUCAUAAUUUCUCUGACUUAUCUGGAACUCAUCAUAUGAGUUCUUGGAACUUAAACCAGCACGCAGAAAAGUUAUGGUUUUCCAAGCUUCUGCAAAGCCAAAAUGCUUGACAGCAAAGCUCUUGCUUGCUUGCUUAUAGUGCUGUGUACCUCUGCAUUAGUGUCACGUGGAAAAAGACAAAAAACCACAUUUUCUUUUCCUAUGUCUUGGAGAGCCAGGAAUCCAGAAUUCAACAUCUUUGCUUUUGAGUUUGCAUUUCAAAACCAGAUUAGAAAGGAUUCUGCAAACUUUCUCUGAUGACAUUUGACUCUUCAAACAACAACAAUACUACCGUUUCUAGUACUACUAAUAAAAGCAACGCAACAACAAAACA
This is a long non-coding RNA of Coturnix japonica (Japanese quail), 1784 nucleotides long. Lineage: Eukaryota; Metazoa; Chordata; Aves; Galliformes; Phasianidae. The record is from Ensembl.